CUGGCGGCAGGCCAACACAUGCAAGUCGAGCGCACCUUCGGGUGAGCGGCGGACGGGUUAGUAACGCGUGGGAACAUACCCUUUUCUACGGAAUAGCCUCGGGAAACUGAGAGUAAUACCGUAUAAGCCCUUCGGGGGAAAGAUUUAUCGGGAAAGGAUUGGCCCGCGUUAGAUUAGAUAGUUGGUGGGGUAAUGGCCUACCAAGUCUACGAUCUAUAGCUGGUUUUAGAGGAUGAUCAGCAACACUGGGACUGAGACACGGCCCAGACUCCUACGGGAGGCAGCAGUGGGGAAUCUUAGACAAUGGGCGCAAGCCUGAUCUAGCCAUGCCGCGUGUGUGAUGAAGGCCUUAGGAUCGUAAAGCACUUUCGCCAGGGAUGAUAAUGACAGUACCUGGUAAAGAAACCCCGGCUAACUCCGUGCCAGCAGCCGCGGUAAUACGGAGGGGGUUAGCGUUGUUCGGAAUUACUGGGCGUAAAGCGUACGUAGGCGGAUUGGAAAGUUGGGGGUGAAAUCCCAGGGCUAACCCUGGAACUGCCUCCAAACUUUAGUCU
This 554-nucleotide ribosomal RNA is filed under the name uncultured Alphaproteobacteria bacterium. RNAcentral's name for it is "bacterial SSU rRNA". It matches the Rfam family "Bacterial small subunit ribosomal RNA", at positions 36 to 642 of the family's 1533-position model. The record is from RNAcentral. Lineage: Bacteria; Pseudomonadati; Pseudomonadota; Alphaproteobacteria.